GAGCCGUUAGCUCAGUAGGUAGAGCACCUGACUUUUAAUCAGGGGGUCCAGGGUUCGAAUCCCUGACGGCUCACCA
This 76-nucleotide transfer RNA is filed under the name Candidatus Rokubacteria bacterium RIFCSPLOWO2_02_FULL_72_37. RNAcentral describes it as "tRNA-Lys". It matches the Rfam family "tRNA". Rfam says of the family: Transfer RNA (tRNA) molecules are approximately 80 nucleotides in length. Their secondary structure includes four short double-helical elements and three loops (D, anti-codon, and T loops). RNAcentral also lists the same sequence under 2 other names. The record is from RNAcentral. Lineage: Bacteria; Candidatus Rokuibacteriota.